Mercurialis annua (annual mercury) is the source of this 1879-nucleotide RNA transcript. RefSeq lists it as uncharacterized. Lineage: Eukaryota; Viridiplantae; Streptophyta; Magnoliopsida; Malpighiales; Euphorbiaceae. The record is from RefSeq and is a predicted model, not a curated record. The transcript is spliced from 9 exons.
AUUAUACUUUACCCGCCCAAGUAAACACCGUCGUCUCAUGAUCUUCGUCUAGCUCCAGCUCUGUACAGUGUACAGCAAUGGUGAGAAUCCAGGUGAAGCAUGGAGCGGACAAGGAAUUUAUAUACGACUGUGAAAUCACUUAUCAAUUGGAAGAAAUCGCCUCUGAAGUUCUUCAUAUUUCAAAUCUCCAAUACAAAAUUGAUCGCUUACUGUUAAAACUCGAGCCUCUUCUAUCACCGCUCCGUGGAAACCCUAAAAUUAUUCCUCUUAUUAGAGCCUUAUCUGGAGCUAAAGUAUAUGCAUCAAAGGACCAGGUUUUGAAUAAUAAGGCUGUGUCAUUUUAUGUAAUGAGAGAUCAUGUACAGGCAGUAGAGGGACUAGUCAUGGAAAAUUAUCAAUUAUUAGGUUUUGAGGAUUCUAAUCAAGUACAAAAGCUCCUAACAGAUGUGGAAGUUCUUCAUGAAGAAACGACUCAUCUUCUUUGGGCAGGGAAAGAACUCGCUAAGGGGAAACGGUUGUGUGAUUAUAUUGGAAUGAAUGACAAAACUAAGAUUGUGCUUCGACUGCAGCCACCUAACUCGUGCUCUGCUUAGUUUUUGAUUAUUGGAGUUUCGAGCAAAUCAAAGUGGCCGUGAAGAAUUUAUUUAUAGAUAAAGGCAGGGGUCGCUUGGCUAUCCUUGAGAGGCAGACGAGACUGAUGGCUUUUGUUUUUUCACCAAGUAAUGAUUUCAUCUAUUGUUGUUACGGAGUUCAGGUUUUUCAUGGUCUUCAUAGAUAGCUAGUUUAGAAGCUGACAAUGAGUAUAACCCAAUCUCUGUUGCACUCUUUCUUGAGCAGAAAAUCUGCUGAGACUGAGACUGCUUGCAAUGUGCUAUUGCUCCUUGAAUUGGAUUCUCAACCUCUGCAUUUACACUGCUGCUUCUCUUCAGAAAUGGCAGCACAUAAACUCCAUUUGUAUUAAUGGAGCUUGAAGAAGAAGAUCCAGAUGACGACGUUGACGAAGAUGACGAUGACUUAGCUGUCGAAUGACGUUUAAUUGCCAUUGAGAACGAUCUUCUGUGAAGCCGCCCGCUUUCGCCAACAUCCCGGUUGAUCUUCUGAAUUUGUCCAAAAGGGAUUUUCUUCGUCGGCCGUUCACAUCUCAUCAAAGACUCUUUCACUCUCGUAAUAGUUCCCUCAUCUGCAACUUUAGUUGCUGCAGUACAGGAUUCAGCCGAGCAACCGGAUUUUCCAAACAAAGACUUGAGAAGGAGAAAUAUUGCAGGAUUCAAAUGGGGUAGUGGCUGAAGUUGGUGUAGUUAGAGCUGUCAUUAAAGGGGUGCUAUAGAAGUCUUCUUCAAAGGUAUUAUGAUGAUUUCUUACAGAAGUGGAGUGUUCUAGAAGCUUUUCGACCAUUUGUAACCGAGGAGGAAGAUGAAGUGGGAGGAGUUUUCCUUUGUAGAAAAGCUCAUCAGCUGGAGAAGUUGUGGGCUCUUUUUCUAGUGAAAUUGAUGACAUGUGAAACUCGAAUUCGCUUGGUUGUGGUGGCAAGGUUUUGGAAUGGCAGAGAAAGUUUCCAACUUCCAUGUCGAUAUAGUCAUCAUCUGCAUUAUCAUAUGAUAAAAAGUUGACUGCCAUUUCUGCUACCAACUCAAUGAUCUGAUCAAGGUAUGCUUCUGUAUCUCUCUCUUUAUGUUGGUUUUUCUUUUUUUGUGUUUUUAUUGGUGGGUAAUAUAGUAGUAGCUAAUGGAGAUAUAAGCUUAAUAAUGGGCUCCAAAUGAAGGAAAGGGGAGUAUUUAAAGGUAGGAGUGUUCAAAAAUUGAAUCAGACCAACUAAUCAAAUCGAACCAAACUUGUCGAUUCAGUCUGAUAAUAUAAAAAAAAUUGGUUUUUCAGUUCA